This 595-nucleotide long non-coding RNA is filed under the name Medicago truncatula (barrel medic). RNAcentral's name for it is "long non-coding RNA (MTRU_LNC007157)". The record is from RNAcentral. Lineage: Eukaryota; Viridiplantae; Streptophyta; Magnoliopsida; Fabales; Fabaceae.
AAUAGGUGAAGCAUCCACCAUUGUGGAUGGUCUUACAACUCACAAAUUUCACAUCUUUUUGCUAUAAAUUGUGCUUUUAAGUUUCAACAUUUUCACACAAUUUCGAGAUUCAUGAUAAAAUUUUGAAAAACUACCCGAUAUCACUCUUUCAUUUUAUUCAUUUUUUCUUCUUAUUCCCAUUUUUUUUCAUAGAUCUAAUUCUUAAAAAUUGUUCGAUUUCUGAUAUUUUUUCAAUUGGAAAAACAAUUAAACGAACUUCUCUUUAUUUUUCCUACCUUCAAUUCAUCUUGAUCUUUAUUCACCUGAUUUUAAUUGUUGCAGAAGUGGAUCUCAAAUGACGACUCUGAUGAAAGUAUCAACAUGCGGUGUGAACUCUGAAGAAAUUGGAUUAAACACUUUGAUUAGAAUGAAUUUUAUUAGUUUUUAAGUGAAUUCUUUUGCACAACUAUUCAUGUAAUUAGUUUUAAAAAUAAAAUUUAAUUUGUAUUGUAAAUGAUAUUUUUACAUUCCAAAAUAGUGGUGUUUGUAUAGAUUAAUGAUUAUGUUGUACUUUCAACUAUGAUGUGCAUCAACAAAAACAGGCUGUAAGAACUGU